This 61-nucleotide non-coding RNA is filed under the name Sydowia polyspora. RNAcentral's name for it is "partial 26S ribosomal RNA". It matches the Rfam family "Eukaryotic large subunit ribosomal RNA", at positions 1 to 59 of the family's 3401-position model. The record is from RNAcentral. Lineage: Eukaryota; Fungi; Ascomycota; Dothideomycetes; Dothideales; Dothioraceae. RNAcentral also lists the same sequence under 3 other names.
GUUGACCUCGGAUCAGGUAGGGAUACCCGCUGAACUUAAGCAUAUCAAUAAGCGGAGGAAG